RNAcentral lists this transfer RNA (64 nucleotides) under Paraleptophlebia submarginata. RNAcentral describes it as "tRNA-Ile". The record is from RNAcentral. Lineage: Eukaryota; Metazoa; Arthropoda; Insecta; Ephemeroptera; Leptophlebiidae.
AAUAAGGUGCCUGACCAAAGGGCCAUCUUGAUAGGGUGGAUUACGUGAAUACUCACUCUUAUUA